Molecule: long non-coding RNA, 11149 nt
Organism: Bubalus bubalis (water buffalo)
Lineage: Eukaryota; Metazoa; Chordata; Mammalia; Artiodactyla; Bovidae
Exons: 3
Source: RefSeq, a predicted model, not a curated record
CAGGCAUUGAAAAUACAUUAUUCCUCAUUCUUUAAUAGUUAUUAAGCAAAGUGUGGGGCUAGCCAUUAUGACGGGAGUGAUAAUUCACCCUUGUAUCUCACCCAAGAGACUUUGCUAUCUCCUUUGCUAUCGAGCAAAGGAGAAAAGACUCUCAAAUACAUACUAUGUAGAUAAGCAACUAUGAUAAAUGGCAUUCAGUGCAGAAGGAAAUUUCUGGAUCAAGUGUUUUCGUCUUUCAGAGUCAAGACACUUUACUUUGGGCUGUGAAAUCAGAAGUUUCUCACCAGCCAUUCUAUUUGGUCUCAGAUCUGACCUCUGUCCUUCUUCUGCUUUGCUGUGCACUGCAAGGAGCUAACUCCUGCAAGCUCCUUUUCCCUGGCUAUGCUGCCAGCUGGUUCCAGCUCAAGUGCACCAGUGGGAGGCCCCAGAGAAGGCUCGUGUAACUGGAGGAAGGAAGGAGCCAGGGUAUUUCUCCUCACUUUCUGAGGCUAUACAAUGAAAAAACCAACAGAGUAUUUUCACAGGGUUUCUAUGAGAAUUAAAUGAGAUAAGGCAUGAAAAUGCUUAUACCUUGUGUAUAAAAUAAACACUCGAGGGAUAGAGCUGUUGCUGCUUUUAGCCUUGCUUCGAUGAGUGGGAAAGAGCACAGUGAUCAAUUAGUGACGUCUGCCGAGAGUGAAGACUUGGGCAGUCAUGCUAUGUCAGCGGAGUAUUUACCAACCCUGAUAUCUCGGAGCUGCAUUGCGGAGACAGAACUGAGAGGAGCCGACAGAUGGAUUGACAGACUGAUUUUAGGGAAUUCAUACCAAGUGAAGGAGCCAGCAGUGUGCACAUAUACAGUCGGAUGACUCACUCCACAUAUCUUCUAGUUCACCUUCCUCUGCUGCAGUGACUGGAUGAAUAGAACCCCUUGUGGCGAGAGAUCAAGUAUGUGGUUUAUGUUCUUCUAAUUGGAUGUGCUGGUACAAGCGGAGGCAGAAGUGAUCAAUGUGAGGUGGUAGUGGUACGUAGGAGGAUAGAAUCUUCUGACUAGGAGAGUGGUAGAGCUGUCUGGUAAUUCUGAGGUGGUAGCAGCCACGCUUACAUCCUCAGGUCUACACUGGCUACUCAGUGCUAAGGAGCAGAAGCUACUACCAUGCCUCUCUCAAGCAGCUGGCAUGGCCAAGCUCUUUCCCGGCUAUUAAAUUUAAGUAGGUAGCAUUCCUGAUGGCUCAGGUGGUAAAGAAUCUGCCUGCAAUGUGGGAGACCUGGGUUAGAUCCUUGGAGGAGGGCAUGGUAACCCACUCCAGUGUUCUUGCCUGGAGAAUCCCAUGGACAGAGGAACCUGAUGAGCUACAGUCUAUGGGGUCGCAAAGUCAGACAUGACUGAGCAACUAAGCACAGCACAGCACAGGUAGCAUUCAGACCUGGUUUUCCAUCCCUCCCCCAAAUUCUGUGAGCCACCGAAUAUCCUUUAACAAAUCACUUUCUGCUUCAACUUGCCAGAAUGGGUUUUGUUGUUUGCAUGUAGAAAACUUUACAAGAAGGCAUGUUCUAGGUCGUAUGGAAACAGAGGCAAAGAGGUCUUUUCCUUCCUGAAAUGAAAGAAAUGAUUUCACAGAAUGAAUGCCAAUUGAACAGAGACUUUUAGAGUGUGUUGAAAUUUAUUGAAUGGACAAAGAUAGAAGGAGAUUUCAGAUAAAAUCACAAAAGUGAGUGAGCUCAUAUACAUUCAUUCAUUUAUUUAAUGUUCAUGAGUAUAUACUAUGUUCUAGGUACUGGGCUAGAUUCUUUGCAUACAGCAGUGAGAAAUAUAACUAUGAUUCCUGCCCACAGAAUGUUUAUGCAUUUCCAAAUUGUACAUGUAGAUUAUGUUACCCUGAAACAACGUAAAUGUGGAGGUUACAAUAAAGAAAUUGUGUGACCCUUUUCCCAUUAAGUACUUGCCUCUUGGGAGGUAAAGAAGAAUAUAAUUUCUUACCUGUGUUCCUAUAAAUAGUGGUGAGAUAAUUGUCAGAAUAGUGGGCUAAUUUGGUUUUAUUCAAGUGAUUAUCCUUUUCUGAAGGAUCAUCUUGCCUAUCUUCCUUUAUCAGUGUCUUAACUGAUGUGUUUUGGUGCUGCAGAAAAUCAGGGUUAGAGGAAGAGAGAAAUUGAACAGAGGGAUAAAAACAUACCUAUGCCAAGGCUUAUUAUUCUAUGUCAGCUUUCAUGGUGAAAACUAUCCAACUAUGAAGCCUCAGGACCGCUCUAGAGGCCCACCAUCAUUUCAGACUCUUGGCUUUGUUUCUUGGACUCCAAAUGACCAAGACCACUCAUAGCAUGAAAAGCCCCAAGGGACAACAGCUGAUGAUUGGGGCUGAUGCUCCUAGAUCCAGGGAAAUUUGCAGUCAAUUUGCAGUCACCUCUAUGUACCGAAGAUCCCCUUUACUUAGAUGGCUCCAUGGCUUGGCUGGGUUUUCAAUUCAUUAAUGACUAGAAAGGUAGUAUCCUUUCCUGUUUCACAAUGACUUAUUGUCUAUAACACCAUCCCUACUUUUCUUUGGCUUUCUCUCUUCUCUCUUCUGGAAAUUGGCACAGUUCAUUAAUUAAAUCAUGAGAAAUGGUAGGGAUCCAAUUUGCCGUUGGCAGUCCAAGAGGCAAAUUCCAGAUUCCGGUAGUCAGUUGCAGAAUCAAAUUUUCAGAGAUUUCAUUGCUAGGACAUUUUGUGAAACCAAUUUACCAUAACAAUAAUAGUUAACAUUUAUAGAUGCUUUUUGAGUGCCAAUAGCUAUGAUAAGCAUUUGUAUUCAUUUACACCUUUAAUCGUAACAAUAUCACCAUGGCAUAAGUAUUCUCAAUGUCGCCAUUUUAAGAUGAUGAGGUUGGGAGUAGUUAAGUUUAAAUCGAGUCAGUUAAUAAGUGGCAGAGUCAAGGUGAGACCCCAGAGUAGUGAAAUCUAAGGCCUGAGCUCUGAUCCACUCUGCUGUAUUGUACCCUGUGGUGAGUUGGCAUUUUUAUUCUGAUUAUUUUUCUCUAUUGGACAUCCUUCAUCAUCCCUGAAAUAAGAGUUUGAACCAAAUUAAGAUUUACUUAAGCCAAAGUUUUUAUCAAGUUAUGAAUUGACCUUAAAAUUAGUUUCAUGUGUAGGCAUAGCUUAACCAUGAAGCACUGGACAUUCUCUCUCUGACUGGUCCAACAGGCAUAAAUUGCAAAUUUUAUGGCUCUAAAAUAGUUUGAGUUUUAACUCAAUAAAUGAAAGAAAAAUCAGUGACACAUUCUUGAAAUUUAAAUUGUAAGUGUAUCCUCUCUAAGUUACCAUCCAGUUACAGGGUGAUUUUUACAAUGUUCACAGAAACUCAUUGGUGUUGCUACUAUUUUAACACAUAAAUUUAUUUCCAAGAUGUUUAAGUGGCAUAUUGCAGAAAGUCAGCUGGAUUUUGAUUCUUAAAAAUCUGGCAAUGAUGGAAAUGCUUUUUGAAUUUAAGUGAGAACAUCCUCCCUGCUAAAACAGCACUCUGAUUAGAUUCAUUUCUAGAACUGCAUUACUCACACAUGGAAAUGGUAUAAAUUUGUUACUAAACCGUCUACAGAUGGUAGGGUUUAUUUUCCCCCAGUAAACACCAGAGGCUGUGAUCGUGCACUUUAGAACAAAUGGGCUCAUUUCUGCAGCCUCUUCAUAUUUUGCAUAGCAAUGUCCUGCUCAUUGAACUGGGUCCGUAGUUCUUGCAAACAAAGGCUGUUUAACAUUAGUGAUUGCAUCUUGAAAACAGAGAACUUGUUUUGUUAUAAAAGAUGAUUGCUCUUCUAUCCUGUCCUAUUCAGCAAGAUAAGGACUGCCAUAACUCCAUGAAGAAUAGAGAAACUACUGAAAUGACAGAAUCUUAAGAAUUGAAAAGUGCAGUAAGUGUCCCCCAGGGGACACCUCUGCAGUCUCUGAGAGAUGCUUAUUUCCACUGCUCUGGCUGAAUAACUUCUACAGAUAAGAGCCUUACCACCCUGCUGAGAUGACCGAUAAGAGUUUGUUGAGUGUGCCAGUCUCCGCGCUGGGUACUGGGGAGUAGGAGGCAGACAAUAUACCCAUUGCUGUCCUCCUGGUCUCUGCCCUCAUGGAGUCAGUGGUCUAGUGGGGAAAAGGCAAGUAAGCAAGCAGUUAUGGUUCAUAUAGGCUGUUUGGGUCGCCUCCUAUGCACCAUAUUGUUGAGGAGGGAUUCCCAGCCUAGGGUUAUGGGGAUGGCUGAGUAUAUGACCCUCAGCACUGGGCAGCUGAGACUAAUAGCAGUUUAGCAACCACAUAUCCUCAUGGCGGGGUGGCUGGGGAUUGGGGAGGAUACCACGUACCAUACAAAGAUGGCUCUCAGGAGCCGAAUGGAAACGUCAGUGGAAGCUGUGUGAGAGGCAGGCUUGUAGUAUCAAGAGGGUGAAGAGGCCCCUGGUUCCUGCAGGAGGAUGUGACUGGCAGGAAACUGAAACCCACUGCUCAAGGAUAAGCAGGAACUGCACCUGGGGUGGGGGUGGGGGUUGAUAAAGAGGGCUGUUUGAUUAGGGAGGUUAUCUAUCCACGGGAGCAGAGUGGGGAAGGGACUUUGCCAUUAUGCCAUUUGAGGCCUCCCUGAUUUCAUCAGAUGUUGAGGCAGCAGGUAAUAAUACUGAGUGUCAAAUUUAGUUCUUACACCAUAGGGGAUUCUAUGGAGGGACAAUUAAAACAUGAUUUGGGGAUGGGGCCUAGGCAGAGGAGAUCGGGGCUGACAUUCCUAAGAAAGACAACAUUUAAACAGAGACCCAAAGAAUGAAUUGGAAUUAGACAUUCCCAAAGAUGGGUUUUCAACUACAGAGCAGAGAGGUGAGAGAGAGCCCAGAUUGUGCAUAUGAGGGGGUGAGGUGGGGAGAGGCCGACUGAGAGAAGUUAACCCCACAGAUUCUCCCCGCAGGCAUGUAGGCAGGAAAGAAGAGAGAGAUGGAAGGGGAGCCUCAUCAGGGCCCAGUCAUGUAGAGCCUACCUGUCCACAGCAUCAGACAGGUGACCUCUGUGAGCUGGAGGAAAGGCAUAUAGCAGGCAUGGCACAGACUGGGAGGACUUGGAGACAAAGUCCCAAUCCACACGGGAGGCCCUUUCCAUGUGGGGACCUGUGCCCAGCAUUACCAGAUACCCCGAUUUUUCCAGAGAAGCCAUACGUUGGGAUUUGUAGACAAAGCUUUCAAAUUUACAGACAUUGGCUCUACUGGAAAUUUAUUAAAAAGAAAAAAAAAAGCACUGUGCGAGCCAAGCAAAACCUAUCAUCCCACAGGCUUCUGGUGUGUAAUCUCUAAGAAAAAAACUUGAAAGCCACGAGAAAGAGUUGAGGGUCCACCAUAAAGCCAUGGGAGAUUUAGGAGCAAUGGGGAUCUACUGCAUAGCUUCGUAAUGGGCCAGGGCAGGAUCACAUCUGCAUGUGAGGAUUGCAGCCAUUGAAGACCAGGUGGGACGCUAAGAUUCAGUGUCUCUGUCUGACCUGGGGAAGCGACUGUAAAGAUGGAGGAAAGCUAUUUUCAUUCCAGAAUCAUGUAGGAGGUAGAAGCAAUAGGACAUGGAUGUCUUGGGGAGGGUGGGGGAGAGGAGUCAGAUCUUUGACUUAUCACAGUAUCAGGCAGUCUGUUAGAAAUCUCCUUCUUGCAACUUCUAUAUGUUGAAGGCCAUCAGGACUCAUCCUGAGUCUUUUCCUCAUUAUUCCAUAUGUAGGGGCUGAGGUGGGUAGUAAUUGAUAGUGUGAAAAGUGCAAAGUUCUUUCAGCCUAGAACUUAGAAACCAGAAUGAAUAUGAUUGGUGGGGAGCAAUAAAUUUACUUGCUGAGCCAUAGGCUAAGAUUUAAUCGAAUUUUCAUGUUCUGAGUUUUCAUAAAGUGAUGCAGGAGCCAAGCUACCCCUCAGAGGCAUGCUGGGUGCCCUGGGGAUUCCAGACAGUGAUUAGAAACAUGCAAGGCAGGUAAUUCACUUGGAUGGUUAUUCAAAUUUCUUAUCAGAAGUUUAUAUCAAGCUGAGUGAGGGGGGUAGGUUCUCUGCCUGAGACUGAACAUGACUAAUUUAGCCAUUUCUCCACAUUCCAGAGAGAUGAGAAUUUAACACAGUCCCUCGCUCUUGAUAAAUUCCCUUGGUAUAAUUUAGAUUUUGCCCUCAGAUACAAAUGUGUAAGUUGUUUUAGCCUCCCAAGUAUAGACAAGUAAGGGAGUCAGCAUCCUGAUUGUGUAAAGGAGGCAAAUGCCUUAAAUGUACCUCUAUACUCCCAAACUGUGAACAACAAAAACUAGUUUAGCAGACACAAACAGUAGGCCUAUGCAAAGAAGAUUCUUGGAGGUUUUCUAGAAAAGCUGGAUCCCAGGUAUGUAUGGAAGAUGAGAAAGGGUGAAGGAUAGUCCAGAGCACGCAGGAGAUCCUCAGCUUGUCCCAGGUCUAGCAGGAAGAUCAAACAUAUGUCAGUGGGAGCUCUUUCAUCCUCCAAAUGAAAUGGAAUAAACCCUGGAUGCUGAUUAUUUUUUGGUCUUUCUUAUUCUAUUGUGUUGCUUUUUCUUAACAAAACAAGUUUAUUGUAGAAGAUUAGAAAAUAGUUCAUUGUGAAAAAAUUACAAAAGUAGAUACAUAGAAAGAAAAAGAGAGAAGGAAGGAAGGAAAGGAAGGAAGAAGGAAGGAAAGGACUUGAAACACUGGAGAGAGGAGAGCUCUAAUAAUUCCAACACCCAGAGGUAACCUCAGUGAACAUUGGAUGUAUAUCUUUUCAGUGUUUUUUUCAGUGGGUCCAUGUAUUAUUAAUUUUUUUCCAAGAGUGGAGUUCUGCUCUUAAUAGGGUAUAAGAAUAACAGUCAACCUGCUUAGGUAAUUUGAUUUAUAUUAUAAACUUGCAUUCUCUUGGGGGAGCAGGAAUGGAAAUAUAAUCUCAGUUCAAAAAUGUCCUCACUUGCUCCAGUGCUCAGUUGCCAGUCCACGCAGGGCACUGUUGAGUCCUUUCUUACUCAAACUGCUGAUCCUCCAGACCCCCAUCCUUUUAACUAUGUUUGUUUCCCUCUUGAGUCACACUCAGCUGCAAGAAACUUAGUGAGCUUGUCCGAGGGGCCCUAUUAAUUGCAUGUCACUCUCAGCUCUCAGACACAGAGGGCAAUUCACCAGGGCCCAGGACAUGCUCCCUGUUUAUGUAAAGCCUUCCUGCACACACACACAUCUCUGGGACAUUUCUUCCUCUGGCUUUCUACCACCUGCCCAGCCUGUGCCUGAGAAGAAAAUGUAGGUUCCUCUUCCCAGAGUUCUGCAAAUGCCCAAGGAAUUGUGAUUUCCCCGCUUAGCUGACACCUCCACCCCGCAUUAGAAGAACAUUCAGAAGAUUUCCUCCUUCUCAUGGGAUCUUCCAAAUCUGUUAUUCAUGCUCUGAAUUUUUAUUGUCACUAUUGUUCCUUUUAAGGACUUUCAAAAGAAAAAGUCAGGAGACGGUCCUAUUUUCUCUCAUCUGCUGUUCAAUACCCAUCACUCUGGCAAAAACUUCAAAUGGCCUCAUCUGAGGCAUUAAAGUGUUAGUCACUCAGUCAUGUCUGACUCUUUGUGACCCAUGGACUAUAGCCCAUCAGGCUCCUCUGUCCGUGGAAUUCUGCAGGCAAGAAUACUGGAGUGAGUUACCAUUUCAUUUGAAGAGUAGAAGGGAUGAAAUAUCAGGAAAGUGGAAGGAAUGCCAGAUAAAAUUUUAAAGCGAGGUCACUCCACUGUGCUUACAGGAACUUAGGUUCCAAUUCCUCCAAGCAGGCUGGGAGGUGGCAACCUGGAGGAGAGCUUUCUAAGAGGAGGUGUGGGGGAGAGGGGCAGUCCCUUGGCUAUUCUUUCUACCUGUGGUCCAUGCUCUUGCCCUUCUGGAUGCAAACUCACAGGGUACUUCCUUGGUUCUGGUCCUUGGCCCCUGGAGCCCAGAGCAAAGGUAUCCACCCAGGAAGAGCUGAGUUUUCUUACCUCACCUCUCACCUGUACUAUAUGGGGGUGGGGCGGGGGUGAGCCCUUGAAGGAAUAUAAUCUCCUGGAGAGAAAUGUACUUUCCAACACUAAUGUAAAUAUGAUUCAUGCAAUUUCCGCAGCUAGGCUCCUUUAUGUCCCUAAUUCGGAAACACGGGCCGGAGGUUCUUACUUAUCCUCCAUCCCAGAAGGAGACCCUGAGCUGGGCUUGGUCCUGCUCCAGCAUCUGAAGUAGAAACCACAGCCUUGAGAUGGUGCCAAGGCAGCCAAUUAAGAAGGUGUUGAUGACACUUCCCAGGAACAUUUUUCUAGAUGUUUAACUUUGACCAAAAGUUUAAGCUUCUAGUAAACCCCAGGAACCUCACAUUUUCCAGGGAAUAGUGCCUGGACUAUUAAAAACUUCCAAGAAACUCCGAUUCUCAGAAGGCUUUGCAGCCUUCAAACUCAUCCACCCAUUCAACCUUUCUGGACAAAAACAAAGGCGAUGAAAUGGUGCUUUCUCUCAUUCCUGGAGAGUUUAGAUGACUAAAGUCAUAUAAGAAGCCUGGUGCCGAUUAAGCCACCACAUAGGCUUUGGGAAGUGAGGUCUGGCCUCACUGGCCCUGGCCUCAGCCACUGGGUAGCACAGGAUUGGCAGUGACAGCAGCAGCAGGAUCUGUCAGCCCAAGAGCCUGGGGCUGGUGCUGGCCAGGCUCAGUGUCCUUGCUUCAUUCUGUCUUAUUCAAAAUGACCACAGGCUAGCUCUUGAUAUCUGAACGUAUAUGACCAUCAACCCAGCAAUCUUAUUGGACCCCAGCAAGUGGACUUCCAUCCCUUCCAUUUCCGUCUUACAGAUGAGAAAAGUCUCAGAGGAGCCAAGGGAUUCAUAAACCAGCAGACUUGAGCCUGGGUUCUGACCCACAUUUGGAUUUCUCAAGAGUAGGUGGGAACAAGAGAAGAUCUCACAACGUCAAUCUCCCCAGACCCUGGGGUGAUCUGGAAAGUGCAAGAGGAGGGGCCAAGUUGAGUAGGAGCCUGGGGGAAAGGGGCAUUGAGGGUCCUGGGAUAGCAAUUUUUUUUAAUCAAGUUGUGUAAAAGUAAUUGAAUAAUUUUACAACUGGUACAGCAAACCUGGUAUGUAACAGCAAAUAUGAACCCUGAUCAUAAACACUUUAACUGAGAUACCCAGUGGUUGGAUAAAAGUGGGAGGGAUCCACUCUCUGGGUACGGAGUGGAAGGACUCACAAGAUGGUCCAUUAGACCAUCAGAACGUGAGGAAGGGAAGGGCAUCUCAAGGCAUUUCAGGGAGGCUGGAGGGCAACAAGCAGCAGGAUCUGCAGACUGUUGUGGGGCCCAGGGUUGGGGCACCAGGGAGAACACUUAUAAGACCUGAAACUGGAGGAACACACAAAGACUUGGUCCGUGAUAUCUUGACUGGGGAAUUUUGAUAAAACAUUCCUUUGUUUUGGACAGGUGGACAUUUGUGGGUUGUUUCUUGACUCUAAAGCACAAAUUAUUAAACUUUGAAAAAAGAUUUUUUUUAACUUAAUAUUCUUUAAAACAGAUACCUUCAUUCCAUCGUGUUCUCCACUGCAUCUUUGGUGCCUCCUAUGCUGCUAUGCAUAGGGUCCCUGCUCACCAGUCCUCACUGAUGCUGUCUCACUCUGUCAUCUCACCUCCCAACAAUCUUGCUGGAACUGGAUCCCCUUUUGAAACCUCAGACUGCUUAGCCUACUUUCAAAGAGCAAACUAUGGUGUAGCAAUAUUAAAAACUUUAAAAGACUCAAAACAACACUAAAAAUGUCAGCAAUCACUAAAUACAAUUCUCCAGCAAGGCAGUGUCUCUCCGUGACUGUAAAAUCACCCACAGUUAUGGUUCAAUCUCUGGCUACAUUUCACUACUUUAUGGUUCUUUGAGUGGAGCUGUUUACUGCCAUGACCUGCUUCUCUUGUGGACCACAGAGUCGAAACUUUCACAUGUUCUGGAAGCUCCACAACCUUUCAUUUGCCUGGGCUUGUUGACAUUGCGCCCAUGCCCCACAGAGCCUAUUUGUUCCAAGACUCACUACCCACGUUAUCUCAAGGUUUCAUCUGACACACAAACUAAAAUAAGGACUCAGAUAUAACCCAGAUGGUUUUCCACAUUGAACAAAGGUUAAAAAUUGAGAAUGAUGGCUCUGUGGGCCACAACAGCUAUGAAGUUCUAUAUUUUCAUGAAUUAAAAAAAAAGUAACAUUUUGAGAAAAGAACUAUAUAUUUGAGGUAGAGUACUUAAUUAAAGCACCAAGUCCAAAUCAAUUGAAGAAAGAAAUCCUCAUGGAUGAAAAAGUGAGCUCAGAGAGCCCAGAGUGGCCCGAGGAGCUUGUCGAGUUUGAGCGGCAUUAGCAGAAAAAUGGGGCUUCCCUGGUGGCUCAGACAGUAAAGAAUCUGCCUGUAGUGCAGGAGACUGGGGUUCAGUCCUUGGAUCAGGAAGAUCCCCUGCAGAAGGGAAUGGCUACCCACUCCAGUAUUCUUGCCUGGAAAAAUCUCAUGGACAGAGGAGCAUGGUAGGUUCAUGGGGUUGCAAAGAGUCAGACGCAACUGAGCAACUAAGCAUACAUAUGCCCAGAAGAAAGAAGAGCAGAAUGGAUCACAGAGAAUGUGAGUGGCCAGAUGGCGAAUCUCAGUUCCUCUCCAUUUCUCAAAGGUAUAUUUUUUAAGAAGCUGGCAUUUAGAGUUUUUGGUAAAAGGAAGCAGUUAUUUUUAGGUUCUGUUAAAAGAUAAACUGAGGCAUAUUAGACAUUUUGAAAGUUUGAGAGAGUUUAUUUGAGCAAGUAUCAAAUCAGGCAGCAUCCAACCCAGCAGAUGUGAUCCUGGGUCCUGGGAACACAGGUGUGUGGGGAGUCCCGGCGGGUCUCAUCCUGGUCACUAGAACUAUACGGUCCUCCUUUCAGGGAGGAAAACACAUUUUCCCUCUACCUUUUAGGGUGAACGCUUGGCUAAGACUCGCUUUUCUCUAAGGCAUCUCGUAAAUGGAUAGGCUUACCCAGGUAAAAGUUCUCAGCUGUGCCCACUGUAAUUAAAGAUUUUCGUAAGGUUUCCUAAGGUAAGGUUAACCUGCUCAUUUAGUGUUAAAACAAAAUUGUGUUCACCUGAUUUGGAAGGACUGAUGCUAAAGCUGAAACUCCAGUACUUUGGCCACCUCAUGCCAAGUGUUGACUCAUUGGAAAAGACUCUGAUGCUGGGAGGGACUGGGGGCAGGAGGAGAAGGGGA